RNAcentral lists this long non-coding RNA (325 nucleotides) under Homo sapiens (human). RNAcentral's name for it is "non-protein coding lnc-TOE1-1:1". Lineage: Eukaryota; Metazoa; Chordata; Mammalia; Primates; Hominidae. The record is from RNAcentral.
CCAUGGUCAACCCCACCAUGUUCUUCAACAUCACAGUCAAACAGCGAGCCCUUGGGCCACGUCUCCUUCGAGCUGUUUGCAGACAAGUUUCCAAAGACAACAGAAAACUUUUGUGCUCUGACCACUGGAGAGAAAGGAUUUGGUUAUAAGGGUUCCUGCUUUCACAGAAUUAUUCCAGGGUUUAUGUGUCCGGUUGGAUGGCAAGCAUGUGGUCUUUGGCAAGGUGAAAGAAGGCAUGAAUAUUGUGGAGGCCAUGGGGCACUUUGGGUCUGGGAAUGGCAAGACCAGCAAGGAGAUCACCAUUGCUGACUGUGGACAACUCUAA